AAAUGAAAAUGAAAAGGAAGGAAGGAAAAAAAAUCAUUUUGAUCGUUCAGGAAGGAAGGAAGGAAGGGAACGUUUGUUAGUUCUGGGCCAUGUCACGAAUGCAAUUAGUGACUGAUUCGCCAAGCACUGGGAAGUCCUUCACAGUAAUAGCGAAGGGCUCUUCAAAUGUUCAAGUACUCUUCCGGUAGCGACUGCAUUUUGAUUUGCGCCCCAACGUACCGCCUUAAAGUGCAACUUCGCUUUAUUGCAAACCAAUGGGAGAGAUGGGCAUAACUUUAACGGUCUUUGCUCUUUUAUUCUUGUGAAUUUGUUAUACUUUUAACUGUUACGUUAAUGCUUGGAUCAUUCAAAAGGUGCCUAAUGCGACACCUGGUAGGUGUAAUGUUGCCGCCAUAUUCUAUUAUAAGGAUAAUUUGAUACAUAUCGUGAACGAAAAUCCUAUAGAAGUUUUGUCGAGACCCUGUGAUCCACUGAGUGAAAUUGUUCCUGUAUAUAUAUAUACAUAUAUAUGUAUAACGAUGAUAAAAUAAAUUGAAGCCUGAAAGAUUGUUGGAUAUUUUCAAACGAAGUAACAAGUUGAUUUUCAAUGAGGAUUUGAAAACUCGAUGGAUUCGGGCGAGCAGCAGUUUACUAUUGUCGAGAAGUGAUCUUAUUUAUCGUUACGUCUAAAACGUAGCUGGUAUCUGGAUGAGAGAAUCGUUGCUGCUAGGAUUUUGGUCACGUAGAAACCUGGUAACGAAGUUAAGCUGGAAGCUCCUUCCAGGGAUGGACCUUUCGUAUAACGUGUCUCGAUUCCAAGAGCCCCAUGUACAGAGAGCCCAUAGAACCAAACUCAAUAUGGUGGAGUCAAUUGGACCGCCCGUACUUUAGGGGCAUCUUCUCUCUCUUUUUCCACUCUUCUUCGAACAUAUUCGCUUGGUCGUUUUCUCCCCCUCUCCCUUUCUUCUCUCUCGACCACCCUCUUUUCUUUAUUUCGCCCUCUCGUUCACAUAAUGGAGACACAAUCGACUUUGAAACACAAUCGAUAGUUACCAAGUCCAUCGAGCAAAAAUGUUACUAUGCGUUUGCGUCCCUUUUGAAUGACACAUACACGAUCGUUCUGAUGGUUGUGGAGUUACACCCCUCUAUACGCCAUUAAGAUAUACAUAUUUACGUGGAGAAUAAUAUGGUGGUGGAAGCCAUUUUAUAUGUUCUUCUACGAAACAACCCUUAAAUAUACUAUAGGAUUCAGUAGGAAGAAAAUUCGAUCAUCGGCAUUGGAUUUUCAUCGGUCGGUCUAUCGUACCGUAGGCGGAGAACGUAUUUCUCGGAAACGAACGGUGGAGUUUAAAACGUCGAUCGUCACAUCACAUUGCCAUGGCGACGGACGUCGACGUUUUACACCCUGGCGCUCAUUUGUUUGUCAUUUCCUCGCGGCGACUCGCGGAAACAAAGGACGAGAGGCACGAAGGUAUUAAAUCACACGUGCAAAGUAACGAGAUACCUAUAUCGUGAUUCGCUUGAAGAUUCUUAACAAGAAUGAUACUAUAUCUGUCGCGAAGGUCGAGAUAUUGUCGAGAAAAGGACAGGACGUCAGCCAAGAGAAAGACGUUGAGUGUGUACGUCGACUCGUUAGCGACGAUGACUUCCACUUUUCAAAGCCGAUGCCAAGGCUUAACCACAUAUUUCCCUCUCACGGUAGCUGAGUGUCGAUUACAUAUGCCCUGGAUAUAAAUAAAGAAGGCAUAGAAACUCGUCUACGCUACAAUUUCUUCUGUCAGACGAAAUUUAUUCCAUGUGCUUCCUUCUAAAUUGACAGUCAUUGCUAGUUUUUUUUAACUAAGGUUACCAAGAAUUGGUAAGAAAGUCAAGGAACGUCCUUGAUUAUUUCAGUGAUAGUAGUCGUUGAAAUAUGGCGUGAAGUAAUUAACACUCGCAUUAUUCACGGUAGGAGGAGACGUUAGAACCCCUAUAAUACUCUUCCUCUCGUUCCGGAUAACCAAGCGAGAGACCCAUUGACUUCGUUCAUUGAUUUUACGUCAAUCUGCAAAGAGCACCCUUGCGGGCUCUUCGUGAUGCGUUUACCAUAAACGAUAAGGGCUGUACGGAGUUAGGUGUGAGGGAAGACGAAACUUAUAUUGAUGUCAAUGGUAGACCUUGCUGAUUCCUAUCGAAAACCUCGGGACACCUGUUGUGUCACCUGACGACGAAAGAUAGUUUCGGUUUCGCGUUAUCGCGGUCAGUUGAGUGAGUUUUCGUGUAAACUCGACGUAUUCGCUCGAAAAGGUUUGGGUAACGCAACCCAGACGAGACAGAGGUUAAUUUGGUACGAGCUGUAAUCCGUCUCAUCCGUCGGAUGAAAUUCCAGGACCCUACGGGAUGGACGAAUGACAGAAGGCUUUUGGAUUAUUGCCUUGCUUUAUCGAGGAUUAUAUCGAGUGUGAAGACAAAAAAUAAAAAAGGGAAGACAAAAAUUAAUCGACAUUUUUGUCCCUUUCGAACAUUAGAUCGUCAAACUUUUAAUGAAGUUGCUUACUUGCUUUUUUCUCCCAUUCAUCUUGAAUAUAUUAUAAAAAAUAUAUUAUUCGUGAGAUAUUACAAAUUUGGCCCAAACAUUUGGUGCAAUUCAAAACAAUGAUAAUGCGUUAGAUCAAUCGUGCGAAUAUUAUAAAUAUAUAUUUAUUUAUAGUUUAAUCAACGUUGGGUAGACGCUGCUAUAUCUCCAUUUGCUUUAACCGGAAUGCGAAGACGUGCAUGGGAUUGUGAUGUUACUAUUAUUCGCUUCGAUAACGUUUACGAUACGCAUAUAGUCUAGCAUAUAUCGUGUAGGCUGCUGGGAGGGGUUGGACCAGAGCGUGCCGGCAGCUCGUCGUUAAUAUAAUGGCGAAAAUGGCAAAACGGGUCGACAUCACGUAGAGCUAUAUAAAUUUAGAUCUGAUGGGAAAUGGUGAAAACGGUGAUGAUGAAAAUUCAGACAGGACGUGAGUUAACACUUUUGAAAUAUUUGAAAAUGAAGCUGAAAACUGAUGAACUCAUAACCGUCAUUCUGUUCCGUCGCCCAAGCCUUUUGGAGUUCUCCCUAAUUGACCCACGUCAGUAGCCUAUAGGAUUGGAAAUUAUAGGUCUCGAGGAAAGGAGACGAUUAUCAGUCAAAUAAAGAGAGAGAAUACAAACAAAUAUUAACGACCGGGACUUUGGCGUUAAUCGAGACGGGAAAGAAAAGCAGUUGAGAACAAUUUUGUUCUUUUUCUUUUUUUUUAUAGUCGAUUAAACUUGUCAUGCGUUUCAUUGAAAAUUAUGUUCUUUAUCAAUGAAACCAUGAUGGCCAUCUGGUGUGACAGGCAUUGCUAUAAUUUUAUUGUUAAUUAGAAUUGUGAGCAAACCGUAUGGAAAAUUUGUGUUACAAUUAACGUGUUAAAUGUAGAGUUAAAAAAAAGGUAUAUAUUUAUAA
RNAcentral lists this long non-coding RNA (3430 nucleotides) under Polistes fuscatus (common paper wasp). RNAcentral's name for it is "uncharacterized LOC122518312, transcript variant X5". The record is from RNAcentral. Lineage: Eukaryota; Metazoa; Arthropoda; Insecta; Hymenoptera; Vespidae.